Molecule: ribosomal RNA, 253 nt
Filed under: uncultured bacterium
Lineage: Bacteria
Description: partial 16S ribosomal RNA
Rfam family: Bacterial small subunit ribosomal RNA
Source: RNAcentral
UACGUAGGUGGCAAGCGUUGUCCGGAUUUACUGGGCGUAAAGAGCGCGCAGGCGGUCGAUUUAGUCGCGUGUGAAAGCCCCCGGCUUAACUGGGGAGGGUCAUUCGAUACUGUUCGACUUGAAGGCAGGAGAGGGCAGCAGAAUUCCCGGUGUAGUGGUGAAAUGCGUAGAUAUCGGGAGGAAUACCAGUGGCGAAGGCGGCUGCCUGGCCUGUUCUUGACGCUGAGGCGCGAAAGCUGGGGGAGCAAACGGG